AGGAACUUGCGGCUGAGAUACGCUUCACGGGCGUCAUACACACACUCGCGUACACAGCUCCUUCGUCUCUUGUCUUGUUUUCGCUUCUAAUUCCACUUUUCUGUGCCCCUCGAAACGUGCCCUGGGGUGAGCCCGAGAGCCAGUCACUCCCCUCCUUCUGUGAUCGCUUCUCUUGCUGUGGUUGCUGUUCGCGUACAGCCACCCCAGCCUCUUCCCUCUCAAUAGUUUCCGUAGUGGGUGACGCGUUGGCAACGCUGUUGUGCGUCCCUCUUCUCCUCGCUCCGCCUCCGCCUCUUUUUCGUUCGCGGCGCGCUUUUCUCUGUUUUAUUUUGCCACACGCAUAAUUGCUGUUUUCGGGGGCUGCUCCCUCGAUCUCUCCGUCGUGUCAUUGUGACAACCCUCGCACCUCUCUAGCCGACGUUCCCCGCUCCGACCAGUCGCGGGUUUGUGCACUUCAGGCCUCUUGCAUCUUCCAGUCAGAGGUGGCCGUGAUCGAGAACGCGGAAAGGCAGUCGGCUCAGUAGGAAUCAGUCUCGGCGACGUCCUUCGGGUGAAAAGGGAGAACGCCGCAUAGAGCCGAGGAGCUGCGAGGAAGAGUUCACCGAUAAAGUAAGCCAAGGAGAGGCCCGCCUCUCCCUGCACUAUACACGAUCUCUCUCCGUUGAUCCUGCACGUGACACCACGAGAGGCGAACACACACACACACACACACAGACACAUCUCGCACACGUGUCUGGGCGAGGGUUCGCAGCUGCAAAACGGUAUACAACUAAUUUAAAAAGCCGAAAAUAUGAUGCGCCGAUUGGUGCCUGUGCGUGGCGUGGUAAGCUGCGUGUCUGCAGUGGCCCCCACGAGUGCGUUCCCGCGCGCCUCUCAUGCGGCUCUCAUCACGGGGCGCCGCCACGCCGCAGAGGUCGUGCCGGAGCGGCAGCUGCUCUUCGACAACGACAGCUUCCUGAGCGGCAGCUCGGCCAUGUACAUGGACGAGCUUUACCAGCAGUGGAAGAAGGAUCCGGCUUCGGUGGACGCUUCGUGGGCGGAGCUCUUCUCUCGCAGCGACCUCGGCAACUACGACCACGCGCUGCUCGACACACCGAUUUGCGUGCUGCCGACGGAGAGCAGCGACGAGGCGGUAGUGAAGCAGUCACUGGCUGAUUGUGGUCGCCUCAUUCGGAUGAUCCAUACCUUCGAGGACCGUGGCCAUCUGAUGGCGCAGACGGAUCCGCUGAACUACAUGGACACUGACGUCACCGAGCGCACGCCAUCGCGCCGGUAUAAGGAGAUGGUGCGGCUCGACCUCGCGUACUUCGGUUUUAGCGAUAAGGACCUUGACCGCGUGGUGCGCGUCGGCUUUCAGAAUCAGAUGGGCGGCGUCUAUGACACCUCCUCACCCCCGAUGACGAUACGUCAGCUGCACGAGCUGCUGACGGAGCGCUACUGCGGUCGGAUCGGCUUUGAGCUGGUGCACCUCACCGACGGCGACGCCAAGCGCUUCGUUCGCAGCCAAAUCGAGCUCAAAGACAGCUCCAGCGCACUGCACCGCCCGAUGAGCAGAGAGGAGAGGCUCCGUAUCUGGGACACGGUUGCCUCAGCCGUGUUCUUCGAGGACUUCUUCAAGCGAAAAUAUUCGACCCAGAAGCGCUUCGGCUGUGACGGGGCGGAGACCAUGGUGGCCGGUCUCCGCGCCUUGCUGGAGAAGUCGUCUGAGUUUGGCGUCCAGACGAUCAACCUCGGCAUGGCCCAUCGCGGUCGCCUGAACGUGCUGUGCCAUGUCAUCGGCAAGCCCUUCGAGGUCAUCCUUAAGGAGUUCGUGGGUGUAACGGGGCAGGAGCUGCACCCGUUCCAAAUCCAGUCCGAUGUGAAGUACCACCUCGGCUACCGUGGGCAGCUGAAGCUGAAUUCUGGCAAGGUGAUGCAGACGGAGAUGCUGUGCAACCCGUCUCACCUCGAGGCUGUCAACCCUUUCGUGCAGGGCUACACACGGGCGAUGCAGGUGUCCUUGGGUGAGAAGGGCCGCGAGAAGGUGCUGCCGAUUGAAAUUCACGGCGAUGCGGCCUUUGCCGGCCAAGGCGUUGCCUUUGAGACAAUGUGCAUUAGCGAAGUUGGCGAGCAGGACACGGGCGGCACGGUGCAUGUGGUGUGCAACAACCAGAUCGGCUUCACCACGGACCCAAAGUCGAGCCGCAGCAGCGCGUACUGCACCGACCUCGGCCGCGUUUACAACUGCCCGAUUCUCCACGUCAACGGCGACUACCCCGAAGAGGUGAUCCGCGUGUUCGAGUUUGCGGCUGAGUACCGGGCGCGAUUUCACAAGUCCGUCGUCAUCGACCUCGUGUGCUACCGCCGCUUCGGCCACAAUGAGAACGACGACCCGAGCAUCACCCAACCACUCAUGUACGAGCGCGUGCGUGCCAUGCCGGAUGUGUUCCGGCGGUACACGGACGCCCUCAUCACCCAGGGCAUCGUGACGCCGCAGCAGUCGACGCAGAAGGCGAUUGACGAGAAGGCGCGCUACGGUAGCUACCAGGAGGCCGCCGCGCAGGUGAACUACGCCGAGUACCUGAAAAAGAGCAUCCCCGACAAGUGGAAGUGCAUGAAGUACUCCGACGAGCUCGGCAAUGUGACGCAGCACCCCACCGCCAUCACGCAGGAGACUGUGAACAAGGUCUUGAAGGCUCUCAAGACGUACCCGGAGGGCUUCCAGCUGCACCCAAAGCUGAAGGCGGUGCUGGACCGCCGUAACGAGACUAUUGAGACCGGCGAGGGCAUCGAGUGGGGCACAGCGGAGGCGCUGGCGUUUGGGUCUCUGCUGCUGGAGGGACAUCAGGUGCGUGUUACCGGCGAGGAUGUCGAGCGCGGCACGUUUGCGCAGCGCCACGCCGUUAUCCACGACCAGAGUCAGGAGCGCACCUAUGUCCCGCUGGCGCACAUCAGCGACAUGCAGGGGAGGAUGAUCAUUAACAACAGCCCGCUUAGCGAGUACGGCAUGCUCGGCUACGCCGCCGGCUACUCACUCUACGACCCCACCUCGCUGGUCAUCUGGGAGGCUCAGUACGGCGACUUCGCCAACGGCGCCACAAUCGUGUUCGACCAGUUUCUGAGCGCUGGCGAGUCCAAGUGGAAUCAGCAGCAGUCGUGCAUCGUGACGCUGCCGCACGGGUACGACGGAAAGGGCGCUGAGCACAGCAGCGGACGCCUCGAGCGUUUUCUGCAGAUGAGCAGCGAGGAUGUGACGACGCCGGCCUACAGCAAGGAGGAGCGGGCCCACCGCAUCAACUGGGAGAUCGCGUACCCGAGCACGCCGGCCCAGUACUUCCACCUGCUGCGCCGCCACCAGAAGCGCAACUUCCGCAAGGCGCUGGUCAUCUUCUUCUCCAAGAAGUACCUGCGCGCGCCGAACGUGUCGACGCUGGAGGAGUUUACAAACGGUGAGUUUCAGUCGGUCAUCCCAGAUCUAUCCGUUCCGGCCAGCCAGGCGCGCCGCCUCGUGAUGUGCACUGGCCAAAUCUACCACUACCUCAACAAGUAUCGGGAGACGAAAGGCGUGAAGGAUGUGGCGCUCGUGCGUGUGGAGGAGCUCUCGCCGUUCCCGGUGGCGGAGGUGCAGCAGCUGCUUGCCGAGUAUGAGAAGGCGGAGCUCAUGUGGGCGCAGGAGGAGCCGAAGAACAUGGGAUCCUGGGCCCACGUCGAGCCGCGCAUUGAGGAGUACACGAAGGGCGAGCGGGAGCUGCGCUACGCCGGCCGCAGCAUUACAGCGGCCCCGUCGACCGGGUACAAGAGCAAGCACGACAAAGAGCAGGAGAUCAUCUGCGAGAUGGUCUUCCACUGAGGCUCGGGUUUACCUCCCCACCUCGUGCAAGCAAGGUGGGGACGCAGAAGCGUCGCUGUGCCGCGCACACGAAGGCUGCUUUUCGCUUGCGAGCCUGUCUUUCUCUUCUCCUCCUUUGCAAACAUUUCUUUUCGCGCUUCCCAAGAGCUUCUGGUGACUUUACUGUGUAAAAGUUAUUGGGAUGCCCUCAAGCGGCCAUGAAAAAAUGAUGCCGAUGGUGAAGGAAAAGGUUUGGCGGAGCGGGAGUGCGUGCAUGUCGAUGCGCGCUCCUCCUCCACUUAUGCUGGCAUCGCAACACCUCACAGACACGCUCAUGCAGGCACUGGCUACCUGGCCACAGAUGUUUCGUCAAGCAGAAUUGGUAAGCGGGCUCGUGUCUCUCUAGUUGUUUAUUUUCUCUCUUGAUGUGUGCUGAUGUGCGUCUGCAGUAUGUUGUCUCGACGCUAUUCGUAACAGCGUCCGUCCGCCCCCCUCCACCUCGCCCCAGCACACACGCACGCACACAUGCACGCGCUCGUUAAAGGUGGAGAGACGAGAGGUGUUUCCCUCCCCCUCUUCCCAAAGUUGCGAGACCCGGGUUCUCUUGGUGGGCGAGGAAGCUUAUGAAUGGUCUGUAUUGCACCUGUUUGUUUCGCCGUGGGAGUGCACCGGUGAAUGCGGUGCUUGAUGUGGGUGGAGCCGUGGCCUUAAAACAAAAAUGCAGCCGCCAUUGGGGGUUGCGUCGGUGUACUUGCUUUGGUAUUGUGCGCGACUCGUGGCAGCGAUGCAUUGGUGCCCAUAUAUAUACAUAUAUACAUAUACAUAUACAUAUACAUAUACAUAUAUAUAUAUGCAAUGUAGAAAAAUAUGUUCUAUGUAUGUGUUUCUCCCUCCUGUGCUAUGCUUCGUUUCUUGGUUUGCUUUUGCUGUGCUGUGCCUCCCUCUCUUUAUGCUUAUGCCUUGUCGAUGAUAUGCCGCGUCCGUCUUUGUUCGUCGCUUGCUCU
RNAcentral lists this unclassified non-coding RNA (4812 nucleotides) under Leishmania donovani. RNAcentral's name for it is "gene:LdHU3.36.4920(CDS-product:2-oxoglutarate_deh ydrogenase_subunit_putative)". Lineage: Eukaryota; Euglenozoa; Kinetoplastea; Trypanosomatida; Trypanosomatidae. The record is from RNAcentral.